This is an RNA transcript of Triticum aestivum (bread wheat), 3288 nucleotides long. RefSeq lists it as uncharacterized. The record is from RefSeq and is a predicted model, not a curated record. NCBI's taxonomy places the organism in Eukaryota, Viridiplantae, Streptophyta, Magnoliopsida, Poales, Poaceae. The transcript has 4 exons.
GUGGUGUGCGGUGAGAUCGUGAAACACUAUCACUUUGCUUUCUCCACUCAUGACUUGAUUCCUCCGCCAGCAUCCUCCUCUGUAGCACGACGCCUCCUCUGCAGCACGCCGUUCUCCGGCCACGGCGAUGCCCGGCGGCCCCUCUCCCCCAACCCACACCACCAACACAACCACCACGGCCUCGCCCCGUCUCGUCCUAUCCCCACCAUAGCCCCGCCCCGCCGGCCCUUACCCCCACGACGACCUCUCCCCGCCGGCCCUUAUCCACACAACGGCCUCUCCCCGCUAGCUCCUGUCACCACCGCGGCCUUGCCUCGCCGCCAACCCCGCUCAUCUUCCCUAGAUCAGCUCUGCCCCCGCCAUCGUACUGCCCAGAGCAGAUCGAGAUGCGAGCUGCUGUACAUGAUGUGGGAGGAGGCAUCUCGAAUUGGACCGAGAUUCAGUCCAUUGUGCCCGCCGUAAUCAUCGCCCCCCGUGCUUGGCUCACACAGUCGCUCCGGAAAGAGUUCGCAGCUUGUGUACGUGCUCGGUUGCUGAAGGUUGUAAUGUCGCAUUAUUACCGGCACUAAGUAACAAAGAGUUCCAGGGUCACAAGCAGGCGCCUUCGCCACAUUGUCAUUCAUUUGUGAGAUGUUUCUAUUUCUCUAUGUUGGCAUGGAUGAUAUAGAGUAGUGGAAGAAUGUUAGUGAAACACAUACAGGUAUGCUAUCUAUCUGCUUCUUUCCAUGCGAGGAGUAACAUAUUUGUUGUUCAAAUCUAGAAAUGGUAACACAUUUUCUAUACUAUAUGCAACCCAAUGAAAUGUAUGGCCUUGAGCUUCAUUAUUUAGGCCAGAUCUCAUGUGAGGUGGUCUGUCAAUUGCAUUGGCAUACCAAAUCUGUUAAUGAAAUGUGCUUCAGGAGUGCUAAGCAGUGAAAAAAUAAACAUAACAACAUACCAAAUGUACCCUAUUAAGCAUAAAUGGUUUGAGUUAUAUUAGGAGGCGUACCCAGUCGUCUGAAGACUGCUCUUAAUAUAUUAUUCUCUUUUCCAUGUUGUAACAUUUAGAUCAAUCCACUUACUGGAUUUUAAUUCCAUGUGCUCGGAUGCAUAUUUGAAUAAAUCAUCCGGUCCUUCUAGCUGUUGUACCAACAAAUGAAAAAAGUAUGAGCAUGAAAAGUGAGAAAUAAGAGGAAAAAUAGCUUCUUAUGAAAAGAUGGGUCAGUAGGACUAACUACUGACCGUAUUAGUGAAGUCCUUGCGGUUCAUUGAUGGGCCUAGCGAGUCGACACUUGAACACAUAGUUUCCUGGCAUUUAUAACACAUAGGUACCAGUGAACGUCGUCCAUGUUUAUUGGAAUGAAUAUCUGAAGAAAAUGAUUAUUUUAGUUGUACUCCUAUGUGGACGAACCGGUCGUUCUCGUUGUAAUUCAUAGAAAUAUGUAGAAAAGUAAGACUAGCCAUAUCAUUUUCCAAAAUACUCUUUGGCUCUGUUUAAUACCCAUGCUGGUGUGGCAUCUGUGUCAUCUGAGGACAGAUAGCAACCGAUCUUUAUCAUCUUAGAGAUGCAUGCACUCAAUAAGAACACACUUCCACCUGACCUUACUCGUAGAUGCUCUGUAGGUAAUCACAAUCUUCAUCAGCUAUAGAAAUUGAGUGACUGUAAGUUAGGAAAUCAAAGAUUGGAUAUGCAGUGUUUCAUGUAGCUGGCAUCACCUGUGUGGGAUUGUUUUUGUUCUAUCGUUGUAAUGACUACUGUAGAUUUGGCUCGACGCCGUUUGUCACGUAGGCUUUGUAAUAUACCUUGUCUAUGUUGCUCAUAUUGGCCACUUUCCAUCCGCCUCUUGAGUGCUUGUUUUGCUUCUGUAUAAUAAGUGUUAAUUAGGUACAAGACAACAUGAGCAAAAGUGUUUUGUCAAUCAGAUGUACGGUGUAAGUGUCAAUUAAGUAUGAUAGAUAAUAUGAGCCACAAUUGAGUACCAUAUGGAGUGCUGCAUCUGUAGGCUUGAAGUGGCGGUCGUAACACAGUCGGUUGGGAGGACUCAAUGUCAGAGUCGAUAUUAUGGACAUUUUCCUUGUUAGAACCAACACUGUCUGGUGUGCUCUUAAUGAAUUUGGAGCAUGAAGUGGAGUUUGAUCACUCAUUAUCAUAUCAACAGGUAUGCCUGCAUCAUAAUUGUAUGUACAAUGUCAGUUGUUGAGACACAAACUAAGGUAUUAUGUUUGACAAGAGAACACAUGACCUUCCGCAGCUGGGGUGUGUCGUUGUGGGGUGACAGCAGACUGCGCACUGGGCCUGUCCACAAUGUCAAAACAUGUCCAAAAGAAGACUUGAUUAAUACGACUUUACUUGUGAUUCAUGAAAUGUAUGAGAAAAUGGAGUAACCAGGCGACAUGGCCACGGGUGGCUUUGAUAGAGUGUUGGUUACAUUUAUAAUAGCAGACAUAGCUUUCUUAAAUCCCUUGCCUCCUGUCAUAAUUUUUUAGUAUUGCAUCCCUUUUUACCUCUCCCAUUCCCUUUGUCUCUUUAGUUCUUUUGGAUCUGUUUUUUGACCUGUGAGGCAACGAUAUAUUUUGGAUUUACAAGAUUGAAGUACGUAAGAGUACAUGAUAUAUGUAUUUACCUGAAUUGUCGUUGCUUGUCAGGUCCUGAAAGGGAGUACGUGCCCCACUAUGCUCAAAGGAUGCCAUAUUGUCAACUCAGUUUGUCAUGCAGAUCAUGAUGUACUAAAGUAGUCAUAUGUCCUCGAGAUGCUACGGGCCACACGGGGUGAUGACACCGCAGGUAGGGCAGCACGCCGUUGUCGAGGACGACCACCGGGUGGAGGACGUCGCGACCACCAGGGACGGCAGCGGUGUGGCGAUGAAGGCGGGGCGAGGAAAGGUUGGGCAGCAAGGCGGGUCGAGGAAUGACGUGCACCGGGGCGGAGGACAUUGCGGCCACGAGGGGCUAGGGCGGCGUGGCGACGACGGAGGGGCGAGGAGAGGUAGGGGAGCAAGGCGGGUCGAGGAUGUCUACCGGGUCGAGGACAUCGCAUACACCAGCGCUGAUCACGGCGGUUCCUGGCGUGGUGGCGGCGUAGAUCGUGGAGGUGCUGUUUAAUUCCCAGGAGGUGUCAUCGUGGGGUUGUGUAACAUCCUGAAUGGGGGAGUCUGCCGGCAAAACAUUUGUUGUGAACCGUUGAUUUGAUUGUAGUAUGGUUGAUGUAACGUGGACAGUUGGAUGGUAUCAAGUGGGUCUGAUCGGACGUGGGGGGUUAUCCCGUGUGCACUUUCUGGUGUGGAUGUAGGGGAAGUCAUGUUUGGUCU